UAAGGAAUAUUGGUCAAUGGACGCAAGUCUGAACCAGCCAUGCCGCGUGAAGGAUGAAGGUCCUCUGGAUUGUAAACUUCUUUUAUCUGGGACGAAAACGGGAUUUUUAUCUCAAUUGACGGUACCAGAGGAAUAAGCACCGGCUAACUCCGUGCCAGCAGCCGCGGUAAUACGGAGGGUGCGAGCGUUAUCCGGAUUUACUGGGUUUAAAGGGUGCGUAGGUGGGCUUAUAAGUCAGUGGUGAAAUCUCCGAGCUUAACUUGGAAACUGCCGUUGAUACUAUAGGUCUUGAAUUAUCUGGAGGUAAGCAGAAUAUGUCAUGUAGCGGUGAAAUGCUUAGAUAUGACAUAGAACACCAAUUGCGAAGGCAGCUUACUACAUAUAAAUUGACGCUGAGGUACGAAAGCGUGGGGAUCAAACA
Molecule: ribosomal RNA, 421 nt
Filed under: uncultured bacterium
Lineage: Bacteria
Description: bacterial SSU rRNA
Rfam family: Bacterial small subunit ribosomal RNA
Source: RNAcentral